Long non-coding RNA from Lutra lutra (Eurasian river otter), 337 nucleotides. RefSeq lists it as uncharacterized. The record is from RefSeq and is a predicted model, not a curated record. Lineage: Eukaryota; Metazoa; Chordata; Mammalia; Carnivora; Mustelidae. The transcript has 3 exons.
CCCAAACUCCCAGGGCUCCCCGCCGACCCUCCGACCUGCUGAGGCCAGGGCCACCCGGAACUGCCCUUGCCCACCUGCUCCAGGAUGUGUGCCCACCACGUGGGGGAGGGGACGACUGAUAUCCUGGGUGACCUUCCAUGACCAGAUGUUCUGACAGAUGUUUCCACUGGGGAAAUAGAACAAGAAUCAUGGGAUCUUCAUGCUGUUUCUUACAACUGCGUCUAGAUUUCCCGGGAGCCCAAAACAGGGAGAGGAGGGCAGAAAUGGCCACCCCCCGCCCCAGUUCGGACCUCCCGGGGCCUCCACGCCCACCCAGCUCUGGAUGAAUUGAUGCACC